Solea senegalensis (Senegalese sole) is the source of this 272-nucleotide long non-coding RNA. RefSeq lists it as uncharacterized. The transcript is spliced from 3 exons. Lineage: Eukaryota; Metazoa; Chordata; Actinopteri; Pleuronectiformes; Soleidae. The record is from RefSeq and is a predicted model, not a curated record.
UCCUGUGAGGACACACCACAUUCAGGGGACGUCCACACAUCUUUGGAGCACGUAAACUGGAAAACUGUCCACAUCACUCAUUUCAUCCUCCAGCUCUCUCGUCGUUCAUCAUUCUCCACCGAUCAUCACUUAAAGAUAUGAGAAGUGUCCCGUCCACAGCUGACGGCUCAGAAAUAUAUCAGGAUGCUUUAUGUGGAAUCCACAGCGGGGAAAGGGCAGGCGGGCGAACGGCGUUCACGUAAUGAAAAAGGAGGCGCGAGGCUGAGGAGGAG